UGGUCACCGUGCUGGCAGGCG
Molecule: unclassified non-coding RNA, 21 nt
Filed under: Chlamydomonas reinhardtii
Lineage: Eukaryota; Viridiplantae; Chlorophyta; Chlorophyceae; Chlamydomonadales; Chlamydomonadaceae
Description: small RNA Cre_3434
Source: RNAcentral